UACGGGGGGGGCAAGCGUUGUUCGGAAUUACUGGGCGUAAAGGGUGCGUAGGCGGCUUUCUAAGUUGGAUGUGAAAACUCUGGGCUCAACCCAGAGACUGCAUCCAAAACUGGAGAGCUUGGGUUCUGGAGGGGAAAGCGGAAUUCCUGGUGUAGCGGUGAAAUGCGUAGAUAUCCGGAGGAACACCGGUGGUGUAGACGGCUUACUGGACCACGACUGACACUGAGGCACGAAAGCGUGGGUAGCAAACAGG
Molecule: ribosomal RNA, 253 nt
Filed under: uncultured bacterium
Lineage: Bacteria
Description: partial 16S ribosomal RNA
Rfam family: Bacterial small subunit ribosomal RNA
Source: RNAcentral